GGUGGCUCAGUGGUAGAGUGCUUGCCUAGCAAUGCAUGAGGCCUUGGGUUCGAUUCCCCAGCACCA
This 66-nucleotide transfer RNA is filed under the name Dipodomys ordii (Ord's kangaroo rat). It matches the Rfam family "tRNA". From Rfam's summary of the family: Transfer RNA (tRNA) molecules are approximately 80 nucleotides in length. Their secondary structure includes four short double-helical elements and three loops (D, anti-codon, and T loops). Further hydrogen bonds mediate the characteristic L-shaped molecular structure. tRNAs have two regions of fundamental functional importance: the anti-codon, which is responsible for specific mRNA codon recognition, and the 3' end, to which the tRNAs corresponding amino acid is attached (by aminoacyl-tRNA synthetases). tRNAs cope with the degeneracy of the genetic code in two manners: having more than one tRNA (with a specific anti-codon) for a particular amino acid; and 'wobble' base-pairing, i.e. permitting non-standard base-pairing at the 3rd anti-codon position. The record is from Rfam by way of RNAcentral. Lineage: Eukaryota; Metazoa; Chordata; Mammalia; Rodentia; Heteromyidae.